Molecule: non-coding RNA, 80 nt
Organism: Acanthosepion pharaonis
Lineage: Eukaryota; Metazoa; Mollusca; Cephalopoda; Sepiida; Sepiidae
Source: the annotation of a GenBank genome assembly
ACGUGAAACACCGGUUCCCGUACGAUCACUGAAGUUAAGCAACGUCGGGCCUGGUCAGUACCUUGAUUGAGAAUACCAGG